Molecule: ribosomal RNA, 1264 nt
Filed under: metagenome
Description: bacterial SSU rRNA
Rfam family: Bacterial small subunit ribosomal RNA
Source: RNAcentral
GCUGCGAUGGUUAGCUGGUCUGAGAGGAUGAUCAGCCACACUGGAACUGAAACACGGUCCAGACUCCUACGGGAGGCAGCAGUGAGGAAUUUUGCGCAAUGGGGGAAACCCUGACGCAGCAACGCCGUGUGAGUGAAGAAGGCUUUCGGGUCGUAAAGCUCUGUCAAGUGGGAAAAAAUGCCCCCGAUGAAUAGUCGGAGGAGUUGAUGGUACCACUAGAGGAAGCACCGGCUAACUCCGUGCCAGCAGCCGCGGUAAUACGGAGGGUGCAAGCGUUGUUCGGAAUUAUUGGGCGUAGAGCGCGUGCAGGCGGUUUGGUAAGUCAGAUGUGAAAGCCCUGGGCUCAACCCAGGAAGUGCAUUUGAAACUACCUUACUUGAGUAUGGGAGAGGAGAGUGGAAUUCCCAGUGUAGAGGUGAAAUUCGUAGAUAUUGGGAAGAACACCCGUGGCGAAGGCGACUCUCUGGACCAAUACUGACGCUGAGACGCGAAAGCGUGAGGAGCAAACAGGAUUAGAUACCCUGGUAGUCCACGCCGUAAACGAUGAGAACUAGGUGUAGCGGGUAUUGACCCCUGCUGUGCCGGAGCUAACGCAUUAAGUUCUCCGCCUGGGGAGUACGGCCGCAAGGCUAAAACUCAAAGGAAUUGACGGGGGCCCGCACAAGCGGUGGAGCAUGUGGUUUAAUUCGACGCAACGCGAAGAACCUUACCUGGAUUUGACAUCCUUUGACAUCCUGGGAAACCAGGCCUUCCCUGCUUGCAGGGACAGAGUGACAGGUGCUGCAUGGCUGUCGUCAGCUCGUGUCGUGAGAUGUUGGGUUAAGCCCCGCAACGAGCGCAACCCUUGUCUUUAGUUGCCAGUAUUAAGUUAGGCACUCUAAAGAUACUGCCUCGGUUAACGAGGAGGAAGGUGGGGAUGACGUCAAGUCCUCAUGGCCUUUAUAUCCAGGGCUACACACGUGCUACAAUGGGCGGUACAAAGGGUUGCUAUACCGCGAGGAGGCGCUAAUCCCAAAAAGCCGUUCUCAGUUCGGAUCGGAGUCUGCAACUCGACUUCGUGAAGUUGGAAUCGCUAGUAAUCGUGGAUCAGCGUGCCACGGUGAAUACGUUCCCGGGCCUUGUACACACCGCCCGUCACACCACGAAAGUUGGCUGUACCAGAAGUUGCUGGGCUAACCCACCUCGGUGGGGGGCAGGUACCUAAGGUACGGUUGAUAAUUGGGGUGAAGUCGAAACAAGGUAGCCGUAGGGGAACCUGCGGCUG